RNAcentral lists this ribosomal RNA (375 nucleotides) under uncultured Alphaproteobacteria bacterium. Its description in RNAcentral is "bacterial SSU rRNA". It matches the Rfam family "Bacterial small subunit ribosomal RNA", at positions 9 to 414 of the family's 1533-position model. Lineage: Bacteria; Pseudomonadati; Pseudomonadota; Alphaproteobacteria. The record is from RNAcentral.
GAGUUUGAUCCUGGCUCAGAACGAACGCUGGCGGCAGGCUUAACACAUGCAAGUCGAACGCCCCGCAAGGGGAGUGGCAGACGGGUGAGUAACGCGUGGGAACGUGCCCUAAGGUUCGGAACAACUCCGGGAAACUGGAGCUAAUACCGAAUGUGUCCGUAAGGAGAAAGAUUUAUCGCCUUAGGAUCGGCCCGCGUUGGAUUAGCUAGUUGGUGGGGUAAUGGCCUACCAAGGCGACGAUCCAUAGCUGGUCUGAGAGGACGACCAGCCACACUGGGACUGAGACACGGCCCAGACUCCUACGGGAGGCAGCAGUGGGGAAUCUUGAACAAUGGGCGCAAGCCUGAUCCAGCCAUGCCGCGUGGAUGAUGAAGG